Molecule: signal recognition particle RNA, 316 nt
Filed under: Methanobrevibacter sp. OttesenSCG-928-I08
Lineage: Archaea; Methanobacteriati; Methanobacteriota; Methanobacteria; Methanobacteriales; Methanobacteriaceae
Also listed under: 1 other name
Description: signal recognition particle sRNA
Rfam family: Archaeal signal recognition particle RNA
Source: RNAcentral
AUUUUGGCUAGACUGGAGGGUUAGGGGUCCUCUGUAAGCAUACACCCCCUCUGAUGCAGUCGAAGUUCAAGAGGCGGCUUUUCAAGAGAAUUAUAAGCCUAGGAAAUCAACAUAGAAGUCUCGUCCUGCAGGAUUGAUGGUGAUAAAACUUUUACUGGAGGGUAAAGGUAAAUUAUCUUUAUUAUAGGAAUGUGUCAGGCCCGGAAGGGAGCAGCUCUACUAUUUACAACCAAUGCUUGUAGAACAGCGGGAUGGAGUUGUUUUUUCUAGAUAACUUAUAUUUUUGAGUCUUGUCCACUCUUGAACAUGCCAUUUG